RNAcentral lists this ribosomal RNA (484 nucleotides) under uncultured bacterium. Its description in RNAcentral is "partial 16S ribosomal RNA". It matches the Rfam family "Bacterial small subunit ribosomal RNA", at positions 30 to 507 of the family's 1533-position model. The record is from RNAcentral.
AUUGAACGCUGGCGGCAGGCCUAACACAUGCAAGUCGAGCGGAUGAAGGGAGCUUGCUCCUGGAUUCAGCGGCGGACGGGUGAGUAAUUCCUAUGAAUCUGCCUUGUAUUGGUUGAUAACGUCCUGAAACGGGCGCUAAUACCGCAUACUUCCUGAUGGAGAAAGUGGGGGAUCUUCGGACCUCUCGCUUUCAGAUGAGCCUAGGUCGGAUUAGCUAGUUGGUGGGGUAAAGGCCUACCAAGGCGACGAUCCGUAACUGGUCUGAGAGGAUGAUAAGUGACACUGGAACUGAGACACGGUCCAGACUACUACGGGAGGCAGCAGUGGGGAAUAUUGGACAAUGGGCGAAAGCAUGAUAAAGCAAUGCCGCGUGUGUGAAGAAGGUCUUCGGAUUGUAAAGCACUUUAAGUUGGGAGGAAGGGAAGUAAGUUAAUACCUUGCUGUUUUGACGGUAACAACAGAAUAAGCACCGGCUAACUUCGUG